This 712-nucleotide long non-coding RNA is filed under the name Hordeum vulgare. RNAcentral describes it as "long non-coding RNA (HVUL_LNC016911)". The record is from RNAcentral. Lineage: Eukaryota; Viridiplantae; Streptophyta; Magnoliopsida; Poales; Poaceae.
UGUAUCUGAUGUCGAUAGCCCUAGUGCACACCCUCAUCCACGGGCCAUUCAACCUCUUAUUAUUUUGAGCAAAUAGGCUCACAAAAAUUAGUGGAUAUCACCAGGAAGAAGCACUGCUAAAGAGUCUUCGUGCUGCUGUACUGGGGAGUUCUCAUAGCUCCAGGCAUUACUAUUUUUAAACCAAAAAAAUAUAUUUGCCUCAUAUAUUAAAUAAGAUGGGAGAACAGAGUUUCUAAGAGCUUACAACGCACACCUCCAUUUAGAAAGAGAUUACUCUUCCGGCAUGAUUGAACGCAACUUCUUAGCCCCGGCGGCUACCCAAAGGGCCACCUCGUCUUUGAUGAGGGCUAGAAUUACAAACGGCGAAGGACAUUUGUGACCGAACACACGAGAAUUACGUUCAUUUCAAAUGAUCCAAGAGAUGAGAAAGGGCAAGGAAGGCCAAAGCCUUUCGGUUGGGAACGGACGGGUUAGAGACCGUGAUCCACCACUCCUUGACGGACCCAAAAAGAUGCCAGCUUCGUCGCACAUAUAGGAGUGCACUUUUUCACACCAGUUUUAAGUUGUUACCACAUUUUUGAUACACCUUGAUACUCGACAUGUACAGGAGAUUGGCUAGGGAGGUGUGCGAAGGAAGGUGAAGUUUUAGGCGUUGGCACAAAGACGGUAGAAAGAGAUACUGCGUAUUGUUGCCCUUCCAGGCACAAAGACU